GCUGGCGGCAUGCCUAACACAUGCAAGUCGAGCGAGAAACCGCCCUUCGGGGCGAGAGUACAGCGGCGCACGGGUGAGUAACGCGUGGAUAAUCUACCCUUACCUGGGGGAUAACACACCGAAAGGUGUGCUAAUACCGCAUAAUCCGGCAGUUCUGCGGAGCAGUCGGCAAAGGUGGCCUCUUCAUGAAAGCUGCCGGGCGAGGAUGAGUCCGCGUCCCAUUAGCUUGUUGGUAGGGUAACGGCCUACCAAGGCGACGAUGGGUAGCUGGUCUGAGAGGACGACCAGCCACACUGGAACUGGAACACGGUCCAGACUCCUACGGGAGGCAGCAGUGAGGAAUAUUGCGCAAUGGGGGAAACCCUGACGCAGCGAUGCCGCGUGGGUGAAGAAGGCCUUCGGGUCGUAAAGCCCUGUCAGGUGGGAAGAAUAGCCUCUGAUUGAAUAGGUCAGAGGCAUGACGGUACCACCGAAGGAAGCACCGGCUAACUCCGUGCCAGCAGCCCGCGGUAAGACGGAGGGUGCUAGCGUUAUUCGGAAUUAUUGGGCGUAAAGAGCGUGUAGGCGGCCGGUUAAGUCAGGUGUGAAAGCCCAGGGCUCAACCCUGGAAGGGCACUUGAAACUGAUCGGCUUGAGUUC
This 639-nucleotide ribosomal RNA is filed under the name uncultured delta proteobacterium. RNAcentral's name for it is "bacterial SSU rRNA". It matches the Rfam family "Bacterial small subunit ribosomal RNA", at positions 35 to 649 of the family's 1533-position model. Lineage: Bacteria; Deltaproteobacteria. The record is from RNAcentral.